AUGUCUCCUUGUGUACGACCGACAAACCUUACUGGACCUAAGAGACGGACUUUCUCAUCACUUUCCGGAGUUCAAGUUUUGCAACACGGACCCUCCGUUUGCAGACCCCCAUUCAUCUCACCUGAGGCGCCUUUGUUCUCUGGCCCUGGAGGCCGCAAACGCCGACGCAGAGGGAGAAGAUCUGGCGUUCUGGUUCGACUGAGACGGCGCACUAACAGACCACUGCUACCCAGUUUAUUACUGGCUAAUGUGCAGUCUCUGGACAACAAGCUGUGCGAGCUUCGGGCACGGAUCUCAUUCCAGCGAGAGAUGCGGGACUGCUGCGUGAUCUGCCUCACAGAAACCUGGCUAUCGGACAAGGUACCGGACUCUGCAAUACAACUACCGGGGUUCUCUGUGCACCACGCGGACACGUCACAGGAUCUUACUGGGAAAAGCAGAGGCAGUGGUGUGUGUUUCAUGAUCAACAACAGCUGGUGUGAUUAUGCGAAUGUGCAUCCGGUCAAAUCCUUCUACUCACCGGACCUGGAGUACCUGAUGAUUAAGUGCCGGCCAUUCUGGCUACCGAGGGAAUUUACAGCAGUGAUUAUUACGGCUGUUUACAUUCCCCCACAAGCCGACACUGACCGAGCACUCAGGGAACUGUACAGCGCGAUCAGCAGUGAGGAAACCGCAUAUCCAGAGGCGGUGUCUAUCAUGACCGGGGACUUUAACAAAGGAAACCUGAAGAAAGUUUCACCAAAACUCCACCAACACAUCAAUUUCAACACUCGUGGAGACCGGCUAUUUGACCACUGCUACACUUCCUUCCGGGAUGUGUACAAAGCCCUCCUCCAUGCCCCAUUCGGCCAAUCAGAUUACCGCUCCAUCCUGCCCCUGCCCGCCUACAGGCAGAAGCUGAAACAAGAAGCUCCAACCCUGAGGGCGGUGCACCGUAGGUCGGACCAAUCGGAGUCUACGCUGUGGGACUGUUUUGAUCACGCGGAACGGGAAAUGUUUCACGUGGCUACUAAUGACAUUGAUGAGUACACAGACUCAGUCUGCGGAUUUAUCAGGAAAUGUGUGGAAGAUGUCGUCCCAUCCAGAACAGUUAAAUCCUUCCCAAAUCAAAAACCCGGGAUUAACAGAGAUAUUUGCACGGCACUGGUGAACACCACUUUUGCCUCCACGAACACAUUGGACUACAAACACGCACAUUGCCAACUCCGGAAGACGAUCAAAGUAGCCAAACGUGAAUACAGGGACAGGGUGGAACAACAGUUUGACAACGCUCGGAGUAUGUGGUAG
Molecule: long non-coding RNA, 1287 nt
Filed under: Oreochromis niloticus (Nile tilapia)
Lineage: Eukaryota; Metazoa; Chordata; Actinopteri; Cichliformes; Cichlidae
Description: lncRNA (ENSONIG00000042728.1)
Source: RNAcentral